UGGCGGCGUGCCUAAUACAUGCAAGUCGAACGAACUCUGGUAUUGAUUGGUGCUUGCAUCAUGAUUUACAUUUGAGUGAGUGGCGAACUGGUGAGUAACACGUGGGAAACCUGCCCAGAAGCGGGGGAUAACACCUGGAAACAGAUGCUAAUACCGCAUAACAACUUGGACCGCAUGGUCCGAGCUUGAAAGAUGGCUUCGGCUAUCACUUUUGGAUGGUCCCGCGGCGUAUUAGCUAGAUGGUGGGGUAACGGCUCACCAUGGCAAUGAUACGUAGCCGACCUGAGAGGGUAAUCGGCCACAUUGGGACUGAGACACGGCCCAAACUCCUACGGGAGGCAGCAGUAGGGAAUCUUCCACAAUGGACGAAAGUCUGAUGGAGCAACGCCGCGUGAGUGAAGAAGGGUUUCGGCUCGUAAAACUCUGUUGUUAAAGAAGAACAUAUCUGAGAGUAACUGUUCAGGUAUUGACGGUAUUUAACCAGAAAGCCACGGCUAACUACGUGCCAGCAGCCGCGGUAAUACGUAGGUGGCAAGCGUUGUCCGGAUUUAUUGGGCGUAAAGCGAGCGCAGGCGGUUUUUUAAGUCUGAUGUGAAAGCCUUCGGCUCAACCGAAGAAGUGCAUCGGAAACUGGGAAACUUGAGUGCAGAAGAGGACAGUGGAACUCCAUGUGUAGCGGUGAAAUGCGUAGAUAUAUGGAAGAACACCAGUGGCGAAGGCGGCUGUCUGGUCUGUAACUGACGCUGAGGCUCGAAAGUAUGGGUAGCAAACAGGAUUAGAUACCCUGGUAGUCCAUACCGUAAACGAUGAAUGCUAAGUGUUGGAGGGUUUCCGCCCUUCAGUGCUGCAGCUAACGCAUUAAGCAUUCCGCCUGGGGAGUACGGCCGCAAGGCUGAAACUCAAAGGAAUUGACGGGGGCCCGCACAAGCGGUGGAGCAUGUGGUUUAAUUCGAAGCUACGCGAAGAACCUUACCAGGUCUUGACAUACUAUGCAAAUCUAAGAGAUUAGACGUUCCCUUCGGGGACAUGGAUACAGGUGGUGCAUGGUUGUCGUCAGCUCGUGUCGUGAGAUGUUGGGUUAAGUCCCGCAACGAGCGCAACCCUUAUUAUCAGUUGCCAGCAUUAAGUUGGGCACUCUGGUGAGACUGCCGGUGACAAACCGGAGGAAGGUGGGGAUGACGUCAAAUCAUCAUGCCCCUUAUGACCUGGGCUACACACGUGCUACAAUGGAUGGUACAACGAGUUGCGAACUCGCGAGAGUAAGCUAAUCUCUUAAAGCCAUUCUCAGUUCGGAUUGUAGGCUGCAACUCGCCUACAUGAAGUCGGAAUCGCUAGUAAUCGCGGAUCAGCAUGCCGCGGUGAAUACGUUCCCGGGCCUUGUACACACCGCCCGUCACACCAUGAGAGUUUGUAACACCCAAAGUCGGUGGGGUAACCUUUUAGGAACCAGCCGCCUAAGGUGGGACAGAUGAUUAGGGUGAAGUCGU
This 1487-nucleotide ribosomal RNA is filed under the name Lactiplantibacillus plantarum. RNAcentral describes it as "Lactobacillus plantarum partial 16S ribosomal RNA". It matches the Rfam family "Bacterial small subunit ribosomal RNA". The record is from RNAcentral. Lineage: Bacteria; Bacillati; Bacillota; Bacilli; Lactobacillales; Lactobacillaceae.